GAGUUAUGUGAAUACAGGGCAGUUUUAGGUUUGGUGACAGAAAGAUAAGGGAAUUCAUAGCCAAACAUAUGUUUUCUCUGUAAAGUAAAACAUGUAGUACCUAUGGGGACACCCAGGGCCUCAGUGGAGACACCCAGCCAGGUGGCAUUCAGGAGAGAGGAAUGGGCUGAGAUAAGCGUUUGAGCAUCCCAUGCAGAGUGGAGACAACUCUUGGGAUUAGGGGACAUUAUCUAUGCUUCCUAACAGUGGCCUUGGGGGUGCUAUGCAGCUAAAGUACAGUGGAGAGGAAGGGCGUAAGCAAGGUCAUUUAGAACAAUAGGUUAUUGGCCUCCAGUCUGAUUUGUAAGUCCGUGCACACAUGGGUGGGGCCUGAACCACCAGGAUGAGAACCACUAUGCCCUGUGCCCACAGGGGUGGUCACGUUUGCUGAUUAUGUUCCCAACACCUGGGAACCUCAACAGAGUGCUGUGGCUGGAGGGUGACGAGGGCCUGGGGCAACAAGAGGAUGGACCAUAAGCCUGAGCCCACUUCCCUUACUGCCACAACAGAACGUGCAAACACAUUUCUAGGCAGACAGAUGUGAUGAGAUUCAAUAAACUGAGCUUUCUAAUAGGAAUGGGGUGAGGAGGAAACAGCUCUCAGAUUUAACUGCCUCAGGGUUAUCGUUUCUGAGUCUCCCUGUGUUGUGUGUUGGUGGAUAGGAUGCUGGCACCAUGCGUGACAGGGUUGGCUUCUUCUCCAGGGGCAGAAAAGAGCCUCUAAUGGCCCCAAUUCAGCCCCAGGACUGAGCUUUUGGUGCUUUGGGAGUUUCAGGACUUUUCAACACCCAACUCCUCUUCCUUCUGCACCCCACCCCCAACCCCCAGCCCAGCCCUCCAAAGCAUGAGGACAAAAAAAGUGCUUUAUUGCAAUGUCUUUAUUGCAUUACUGGAGCAAGUUGGCCAGACUGUCCCCUCUUGGGGAAGGUAAAAAACAAAAAGACCAAAGAGUAUCUCCCCUCACCUUCCCCCCACCCUCCCCCACAACUGCACAGCAAUGUCUGAACACAUCUGGUGACAAGAACAAUUUGCAAAAGUAGUCUAGGAACUACAUUAUGAACUGUCCCAACACAAGACAUAUAGUUGGCUUCCUUGUGAAUCAGAUAUUUUACGUAACUACAUGAAUUUUUUUGACUACAUCAAAGACAACAGAAGAAUAGGUUUUUCACGAGUAACAACAGGGCACCAAAGUCACAUGCUGGAAUUUUUAAGGAAACAAGGUUGUCACAAGUGGCUAGAGCGAGAGCAAGGCUGAGCAAUUGAUAGCAGAGGGCCCAGCCAGGUCCCCAUCUGGACCCUCUGCUUUGAGGCCACUGAAGCCUCACAGAGACCUACUGUGGAGUCUUAACUGGCAACAGAAACCACCUUGAAAAACCAGGAAUUUUCCAGAUGCAGUUCUUGGCCGAAGAGGACCAUGAGGCUGGUUCCUUGCCGCAAGAAGAGGAGACCCAUGGAAGACGCCACAUUGGCACUCAAAGCUUCUUCGAAGCACAUGAGGUCCAAAAUGCCAUUCUACCACAGAACCGAAUCUGCCUUCUUUUGGGGAGGAUGUUAGGAGAGACUGCCAGAUCAAAACAGAGCUCCCGACAGAGCCCCGGCCCACCACACUCCCCAAGGAACACGACCUCUCAGGAAAGAGGACAUGGAGUCUUCAGAGGCUUCCAGACACAACCCCCACCCCCAUCAGGCCUAAUGUGUUCUGUAGAGGGUGCUUGGCUAAACGAAACAAAAACCCCAAUUAAA
Camelus dromedarius (Arabian camel) is the source of this 1781-nucleotide long non-coding RNA. RefSeq lists it as uncharacterized. The record is from RefSeq and is a predicted model, not a curated record. Lineage: Eukaryota; Metazoa; Chordata; Mammalia; Artiodactyla; Camelidae. The transcript is spliced from 2 exons.